AUGAGGGGAAAGCGACGACCCCGGCGCGGUCCGCACGGGGAGGCCCAGGUUUGGGAGGGAGGAGCCGGGAAGGCCUCUUCCCGGCGAGCAGAGCCCGGCCAGGGGCUCGCGGCGGAGGCGGGGCCUGCCGUCCGCGCGCCGGGGGCGGGGGUCCGCUCCGGGAAAGCCGCGCCGCGGGGGCUGGGGCGGGGCCUCGGCGGUCCCGCCCCCCGCGCAGGUAGCCAAUGGGCGCGGCGGCGCCGGGUGACGGAGGGAGCCGAAGUGCGAGUGCCGCGGCGGCAGCGGCGGCGGACGGCCCGGCCCGAGCGCGGGGGUCUCGCGGAGGGCGCGGGGGCGCGGGGGCGCAGAGCCGGGGACCCCGGGACCCGGGAGGCGGCGCGGCCCGGGCCUCCGGAGGAGCGCAGGCGGCCCGGCGGCGGCGCGAUGCCGCUCGCCCAGCUCAAGGAGCCCUGGCCGCUCAUGGAGCUGGUGCCGCUGGACCCGGAGGUGAGUGAGCGGGGCGGGGGACGGGCGCCGGCGGCCGGCGAGCCUGGGUCCCCACGGGGGCGGGGCGGCUCGCGGCGCCGCUGCAGCCUGGCGGGCGCCCUCGAGGGCGCGAGUGCACUCCGAUCUCUUGCCCUUCCUCGGCUCCACCCCCCGUGCCCCGGGUGUGAGUGCGUGCGUGAGGGACAGUUCCGCCAAGCGCCCAGGACCCCCUUAGCUCGGAGAGGGGGGUCCCGCGGGGCGCUGGGAUCUGGCUGGUCUCGCCCCACACACCUACGACCUGUACCGGGAGCUGUCGGAGCGUCCUCUGUCAGCGCAGAUGGGCAGGGCUGCGGUGCCAGAUGUCUGGGAUUCUACAGGAGACAAGGGUCAUGGGAACCCCACGUCUCCUUGACGUCUCCCAGCGCCUUACCCCGAGAGCUCCCCGCUUCUCUGUUGCUGACCCUAGCAGGAUUACCCCUCUCGGCACUUGGCAGUUGUGGAAUAUGGGGUGACACCACCCGUCUAGGGCUGAAACUCUUGGUUUUCCUUGCCCCAGGGCUAGGGCCAGAGGAUACCUGUGUCCCCUACCCUAGGCUGUGGAGAAGAGACAGGGGAAGAGCCCUUAGACCUUGUGAAGAUUAUCCCAGGAGACAGAGAGGACCUUGGUGCCUGCCUCCUUUCUUGUGA
This 1152-nucleotide long non-coding RNA is filed under the name Canis lupus dingo (dingo). Its description in RNAcentral is "lncRNA (ENSCAFG00020021434.1)". Lineage: Eukaryota; Metazoa; Chordata; Mammalia; Carnivora; Canidae. The record is from RNAcentral.